AUUGAACGCUGGCGGCAUGCUUUACACAUGCAAGUCGAACGGUAACAGGCCUUCGGGUGCUGACGAGUGGCGAACGGGGGAGUAAGGCAUCGGAACGUGCCCAGAGGUGGGGGAUAACGCAGCGAAAGCUGUGCUAAUACCGCAUGUGAUCUGAGGAUGAAAGCGGGGGACCACGCAGCAUCGUUUGGCCUUGCGCGUUUGGAGCGGCCGAUGUCAGAUUAGGUAGUUGGUGGGGUAAAGGCCUACCAAGCCGACGAUCUGUAGCUGGUCUGAGAGGACGACCAGCCACACUGGGACUGAGACACGGUCCAGACUCCUACGGGAGGCAGCAGUGGGGAAUUUUGGACAAUGGGCGCAAGCCUGAUCCAGCAAUGCCGCGUGCGGGAAGAAGGCCUUCGGGUUGUAAACCGCUUUUGUACGGAACGAAAAGGCGCUGGCUAAUACCUGGGGCUGAUGACGGUACCGUAAGAAUAAGCACCGGCUAACUACGUG
This 492-nucleotide ribosomal RNA is filed under the name uncultured bacterium. Its description in RNAcentral is "partial 16S ribosomal RNA". It matches the Rfam family "Bacterial small subunit ribosomal RNA", at positions 29 to 507 of the family's 1533-position model. The record is from RNAcentral.